This 369-nucleotide long non-coding RNA is filed under the name Nicotiana benthamiana. Its description in RNAcentral is "long non-coding RNA (NBEN_LNC035649)". Lineage: Eukaryota; Viridiplantae; Streptophyta; Magnoliopsida; Solanales; Solanaceae. The record is from RNAcentral.
UCACUGGGAAGAUGAACAACUGAGCCCAGUAGGCUUGAAUACCAAAGAUGACAGAUUGCACCAGUUGUAAUCUUCCAGAGUAGGACAGGGUUCUGGCAGUCCAAGAAGUGAUCCUGGCUGUGAUUUUCUCCACUAGGGGUUGCCAUUGCAGUAAGGUGAGUUUCUUGGUGCUCAAUGGUACUCCCAAGUAUUUAGGGUUUUGGCAGUCCAAGAAAUGAUCCUGGCUAUGAUUUUCUCCACUAGUGGUUGCCAUUGCAGUAAGGUGAGUUUCUUGGUGCUCAAUGGUACUCCCAAGUAUUUGAAAGGCAGUUGGCCUGGUUCAUAGCCAAGAUGAUGGAGGAUCUGUUGCUGUACUAGUAUUGGCACUCC